UGGAGGCAGUUUGGAGGUUUUGGUGAAGGAACCUGUAUGAAGGAGACGAAGUUUCACUUGUUUGAGUACGAUUAACUUCUCUGUUUAUAAUACUAACUACUCAUUCGUAAGCAAGAUUUUCCGUUCUUUUUUACCUGAUACUUAGUUCUGGUGGAAGCUUAUCAGUAUUGUUUUCAGUUUGAUUGAGACUAUAAAUUUAAGGUUUUUUUUUAUUUUGGAAAUUGAUAAGACAAUACUCGAGGCCUAUAAAGUCAACAAAUGACACCAAAUCAGUGUAAUUCAAACAUUCAACGUUGAAAUACCCCCGUGGAUAAUCACAAUGAAGUUCCCCUCCAAAUCCUUCCUCGUGGCACUUGUGAUUUUGAUUGUUGCGAGUGUCCCAAGUUUGAGCGCUGUUCGUGUAAUAUUCAAGGGGACGCCACCUCCAGAAGCGGAUCACCAGUCGAAUUCUCAGCAGAGUACGGCCCACAUCUUUCGAUCGCCGAGUGGAGUCCGCAGUGGGGCGUCUUGUGGCGCUGGCCAGAUGUACGACAGCUCGGGAAUGUGCCGGAAUGCGGUGUACUUUUGAGACACGGUGAAAAUAUUGGGAGUCGUAAUGAAUCAGUUCCAGGAAUAAUAUAUGACAGAAUCGUACUACCUUUAAGCCGGUCGAUGUCAAGUGUAUUUCUACUUUAAGUAUCAACUAGCUUAGUAAUGAGAAGGAGCUGCAGUAAGGAUUCGACUUUAGACUAUAUCCAUAGAAUAUAAGUAUUCGUCGACUAUACAACAAUAAAAUGUUCAAGCGAAUAAACUUU
RNA transcript from Culex quinquefasciatus (southern house mosquito), 794 nucleotides. RefSeq lists it as uncharacterized. The transcript is spliced from 2 exons. The record is from RefSeq and is a predicted model, not a curated record. NCBI's taxonomy places the organism in Eukaryota, Metazoa, Arthropoda, Insecta, Diptera, Culicidae.